Molecule: ribosomal RNA, 246 nt
Filed under: uncultured eukaryote
Lineage: Eukaryota
Description: partial small subunit ribosomal RNA
Rfam family: Eukaryotic small subunit ribosomal RNA
Source: RNAcentral
AGCUCCAAUAGCGUAUAUUAAAAUUGUUGCGGUUAAAACGCUCGUAGUUGGAUAUCUGCUAAGGGGUUCCGGUCCUUCCUGGUGAAGAAUACGCGGAACUCUCCUUGGCAUUUGUUCAGGGAAAGUGUUUGCACUUUGUUGUGUGUCACGUGAUCUGGAUUUUUACUUUGAGGAAAUGAGAGUGUUCCAAGCAGGCUCACGCCGUGAAUAUGAUAGCAUGGAAUAAUAGCAUAGGACCCUUUCCAA